Molecule: ribosomal RNA, 522 nt
Filed under: uncultured bacterium
Lineage: Bacteria
Description: bacterial SSU rRNA
Rfam family: Bacterial small subunit ribosomal RNA
Source: RNAcentral
UCAGGACGAACGCUGGCGGCGUGCCUAAUACAUGCAAGUCGAACGGUCUUUCUAUGGAAGCUUGCUUCCACUGAGAAGAUAGUGGCGAACGGGUGAGUAACACGUGGGUAACCUGCCCAUAAGAGGGGGGAUAACAUCCGGAAACGGGUGCUAAUACCGCAUAGUUUCUUGAUUGCAUGAUUGAGAAAGGAAAGACGGCCUUUGUGCUGUCGCUUAUGGAUGGACCCGCGGCGUAGUUAGUUAGUUGGUGAGGUAACGGCUCACCAAGACGAUGAUACGUAGCCGACCUGAGAGGGUGAUCGGCCACAUUGGGACUGAGACACGGCCCAAACUCCUACGGGAGGCAGCAGUAGGGAAUCUUCCGCAAUGGACGAAAGUCUGACGGAGCAACGCCGCGUGAGUGAAAGAAGGUUUUCGGAUCGUAAAACUCUGUUGUCAGAGAAGAACAAGUUGGAGAGUAACUGCUCCAGCCUUGACGGUAUCUGACCAGAAAGCCACGGCUAACUACGUGCCAGCCGCCGC